This 253-nucleotide ribosomal RNA is filed under the name uncultured bacterium. RNAcentral's name for it is "partial 16S ribosomal RNA". It matches the Rfam family "Bacterial small subunit ribosomal RNA", at positions 524 to 776 of the family's 1533-position model. The record is from RNAcentral.
UACGGAGGAUGCGAGCGUUAUCCGGAUUUACUGGGUGUAAAGGGAGCGUAGACGGCAUGGCAAGUCAGAUGUGAAAGCCCGGGGCUCAACCCCGGGACUGCAUUUGAAACUGUCAGGCUGGAGUGCAGGAGAGGUAAGUGGAAUUCCUAGUGUAGCGGUGAAAUGCGUAGAUAUUAGGAGGAACACCAGUGGCGAAGGCGGCUUACUGGACUGUAACUGACGUUGAGGCUCGAAAGCGUGGGGAGCAAACAGG